AUCAAUGAAAUUAAAUGUAUAUUUGCAAGAAUUGGCCAGAAUCUAAAAAACACCAGUGGUGGGAGGCAUUAUUGGAAUGGUUACUCGCUGGCACAGGGAUCUUCAACUUGGCCCUGAAUCCCAUUGUAAUAAUUUUGAUGUUCCAAGUAGUAGUGAUCUUCAGUAGUGAGAUACAGCUAGUUAACUGAUGGAAAAAUCCACACUGCAGGUUGGAAAACUACAGGCUGGAAAACUCUCCAUUUAACUUAACCUCUGCUUAGCCCUUUUUUUCAUGAACAAGCUAUGUAAUGCUAACAAAUUGGGAAUAAAAAGAGGAAGGAUUCUGGGCUUGGUGGAUGCUUGAACACUUGGACACCUCUCAAGUUCCCCUGCAGACAGAAGGCUGGCCACUGGAUGUCUACAGUUAUCCACUCGAGACAUCUUCAAAACCCUGGUGACAACCAGCAGGAAAAGUGAAGAAAAGGAAUCUGAAGAGAAAUAGGGAAGAAAGAGUUAUGGUGAAGAGCCUUGAAGAUAGCCUCUCAGUGCUAGGAUCCAUAACCAUCUGCACUAGCAGUCCCAGGAUUUCAGCUGUUAAAGAUUCCUUUGACAAGAACCCAGCAAUGUUACCCAGUAAUAGGAAAUCAGAAGCAAUUCAAUGGUGCAGAAUUUAGUAUAAUAUUCUUCCUCUUUUCCUUCUUUUUUUUGCAUAUUAAGUAACUUUGCUCUAGAUG
Terrapene triunguis (Three-toed box turtle) is the source of this 713-nucleotide long non-coding RNA. RefSeq lists it as uncharacterized. The transcript is spliced from 3 exons. Lineage: Eukaryota; Metazoa; Chordata; Testudines; Emydidae. The record is from RefSeq and is a predicted model, not a curated record.